GACGAACGCUGGCGGCGUGCUUAACACAUGCAAGUCGAACGGAAAGGCCCUGCUUUUGUGGUGUGCUCGAGUGGCGCACGUGUGAGUAACACGUGAGUAACCUGCCCCUGACUUUGGGAUAACUUCAGGAAACUGGGGCUAAUACCGGAUAGGAGCUCCUGCUGCAUGGUGGGGGUUGGAAGGUUUCGGCGGUUGGGGUUGGACUCGCGGCUGAUCAGCUUGUUGGUGGGGUAGUGGCUUACCAAGGCUUUGACGGGUAGCCGGCCUGAGAGGGUGACCGGCUACAUUGGGACUGAGAUACGGCCCAGACUCCUACGGGAGGAAGAAGUGGGGAAUAUUGCACAAUGGGCGGAAGCCUGAUGCAGCAACGCCGCGUGCGGGAUGACGGCCUUCGGGUGGUAAACCGCUUUCGCCUGUGACGAAGCGUGAGUGACGGUAAUGGGUAAAGAAGCACCGGCUAACUACGUG
This 468-nucleotide ribosomal RNA is filed under the name uncultured bacterium. RNAcentral's name for it is "partial 16S ribosomal RNA". It matches the Rfam family "Bacterial small subunit ribosomal RNA", at positions 28 to 507 of the family's 1533-position model. The record is from RNAcentral.